Molecule: ribosomal RNA, 497 nt
Filed under: uncultured bacterium
Lineage: Bacteria
Description: partial 16S ribosomal RNA
Rfam family: Bacterial small subunit ribosomal RNA
Source: RNAcentral
GAUGAACGCUGGCGGCGUGCCUAAUACAUGCAAGUCGAGCGAACAGACGAGGAGCUUGCUCCUCUGACGUUAGCGGCGGACGGGUGAGUAACACGUGGAUAACCUACCUAUAAGACUGGGAUAACUUCGGGAAACCGGAGCUAAUACCGGAUAAUAUAUUGAACCGCAUUGUUCAAUAGUGAAAGACGGUUUUGCUGUCACUUAUAGAUGGAUCCGCUCCGCAUUAGCUAGUUGGUAGGGUAACGGCUUACCAAGGCAACGAUGCGUAGCCGACCUGUGAGGGGGAACGGCCACACUGGAGCUGAGCCACGGUCCAGACUCCUACGGGAGGCAGCAGUAGGGAAUCGUCCGCAAUGGGCGAAAGCCUGACGGAGCAACGCCGCGUGAGUGAUGAAGGUCUUCGGAUCGUAAAACUCUGUUAUUAGGGAAGAACAAAUGUGUAAGUAACUAUGCACGUCUUGACGGUACCUAAUCAGAAAGCCACGGCUAACUACGUG